RNAcentral lists this ribosomal RNA (459 nucleotides) under uncultured bacterium. RNAcentral describes it as "partial 16S ribosomal RNA". It matches the Rfam family "Bacterial small subunit ribosomal RNA", at positions 338 to 795 of the family's 1533-position model. The record is from RNAcentral.
CCUACGGGAGGCAGCAGUGAGGAAUAUUGGUCAAUGGGCGCGAGCCUGAACCAGCCAUGUAGCGUGAAGGAUGACUGCCCUACGGGUUGUAAACUUCUUUUAUAAGGGAAUAAAGUGACGCACGUGUGCCUUUUUGUAUGUACUUUAUGAAUAAGGAUCGGCUAACUCCGUGCCAGCAGCCGCGGUAAUACGGAGGAUCCGAGCUUUAUCGGGUUUGAUUGGGUUUAAAGGGAGCGUAGAUGGGUUGUUAAGUCAGUGGUAAAAUGUCGGGGCUAAACCCGGGCCGGCCGUUGAAACUGGGUGUCUGGAGUGGGCGAGAAGUAUGCGGAAUGCGUGGUGUAGCGGUGAAAUGCAUAGAUAUCACGCAGAACUCCGAUUGCGAAGGCAGCAUACCGGCGCCCGACUGACGCUGAGGCACGAAAGCGUGGGGAGCGAACAGGAUUAGAUACCCUAGUAGUC